Molecule: ribosomal RNA, 253 nt
Filed under: uncultured bacterium
Lineage: Bacteria
Description: partial 16S ribosomal RNA
Rfam family: Bacterial small subunit ribosomal RNA
Source: RNAcentral
UACGAAGGGUGCAAACGUUGCUCGGAAUUAUCGGGCGUAAAGCGCACGUAGGCGGCUUAGCAAGUCGGAUGUGAAAUCCCUCGGCUCAACCAAGGAAGUGCAUCCGAAACUGCUGAGCUUGAGUACUUAAGAGGAUCGCGGAAUUCCCGGUGUAGAGGUGAAAUUCGUAGAUAUCGGGAGGAACACCAGUGGCGAAGGCGGCGAUCUGGGAAGAUACUGACGCUGAGGUGCGAAAGCGUGGGGAGCAAACAGG